UACUAAGGCACAGACACGGAGCGGUCCGGUGUGGGGUGACGGCCACAUUGGAACUGAGACACGGUCCAAACUCCUACGGGAGGCAGCAGUGGGGAAUAUUGCACAAGGGGCGAAAGCCUGAUGCAGCAACGCCGCGUGAGGGAUGAAGGCCUUCGGGUCGUAAAACUCUGUCCUCAAGGAAGAUAAUGACGGUACU
Molecule: ribosomal RNA, 196 nt
Filed under: Clostridioides difficile
Lineage: Bacteria; Bacillati; Bacillota; Clostridia; Peptostreptococcales; Peptostreptococcaceae
Description: partial 16S ribosomal RNA
Rfam family: Bacterial small subunit ribosomal RNA
Source: RNAcentral